RNAcentral lists this ribosomal RNA (802 nucleotides) under uncultured bacterium. Its description in RNAcentral is "bacterial SSU rRNA". It matches the Rfam family "Bacterial small subunit ribosomal RNA", at positions 8 to 796 of the family's 1533-position model. The record is from RNAcentral.
AGAGUUUGAUCCUGGCUCAGGACGAACGCUGACGGUGUGCUUUAGGCAUGCAAGUCGAACGAGAAAGCCCUUCGGGGUGAGUAAAGUGGCGAACGGGUGAGUAACACGUGGGCAACCUGCCCCUCGCAGGGGGACAACCGGAGGAAACUCCGGCUAAUACCCCGUACGCUUGUUGGAUCGCAUGGUCCGGCAAGGAAAGGUAGCUUCGGCCAUCCGGCGAGGGAUGGGCCCGCGUUGCAUUAGCUAGUUGGUGGGGUAACGGCCUACCAAGGCGACGAUGCGUAGCUGGUCUGAGAGGAUGAUCAGCCACACUGGGACUGAGACACGGCCCAGACUCCUACGGGAGGCAGCAGCCAGGAAUCUUGGGCAAUGGGCGAAAGCCUGACCCAGCAACACCGUGUGGGCGAUGAAGGCCUUAGGGUCGUAAAGCCCUGUUGAUAGGGACGAAGGGCGAAGGGUUAAUAGCCCCUAGCUUGACGGUACCUUUCGAGGAAGCCCCGGCUAACUACGUGCCAGCAGCCGCGGUAAUACGUAGGGGGCGAGCGUUGUCCGGAAUUAUUGGGCGUAAAGAGCGUGUAGGCGGUUCGGUAAGUCUGCUGUGAAAUCCUGGGGCUCAACCCCUGGGCGUGCAGCGGAUACUGCCGGGCUAGAGGGUGGUAGAGGCGAGUGGAAUUCCGAGUGUAGCGGUGAAAUGCGCAGAUAUUCGGAGGAACACCAGUAGCGAAGGCGGCUCGCUGGGCCACACCUGACGCUGAGACGCGAAAGCGUGGGGAGCGAACAGGAUUAGAUACCCUAGUAGUCC